RNAcentral lists this ribosomal RNA (637 nucleotides) under uncultured bacterium. RNAcentral's name for it is "bacterial SSU rRNA". It matches the Rfam family "Bacterial small subunit ribosomal RNA", at positions 607 to 1244 of the family's 1533-position model. The record is from RNAcentral.
GCUCAACCGAGGAAGUGCUUCGAAAACUGGUAAACUUGAGUGCAGAAGAGGAAAGUGGAACUCCAUGUGUAGCGGUGGAAUGCGUAGAUAUAUGGAAGAACACCAGUGGCGAAGGCGGCUUUCUGGUCUGUAACUGACGCUGAGAUUCGAAAGCAUGGGUAGCAAACAGGAUUAGAUACCCUGGUAGUCCAUGCCGUAAACGAUGAGUGCUAAGUGUUGGAGGGUUUCCGCCCUUCAGUGCUGCAGCUAACGCAUUAAGCACUCCGCCUGAGGAGUACGAUCGCAAGAUUGAAACUCAAAGGAAUUGACGGGGGCCCGCACAAGCGGUGGAGCAUGUGGUUUAAUUCGAAGCAACGCGAAGAACCUUACCAGGUCUUGACAUACCAUGAAAAGCUAAGAGAUUAGUCUUUCCCUUCGGGGACAUGGAUACAGGUGGUGCAUGGUUGUCGUCAGCUCGUGUCGUGAGAUGUUGGGUUAAGUCCCGCAACGAGCGCAACCCUUAUUAUCAGUUGCCAGCAUUCAGUUGGGCACUCUGGUGAGACUGCCGGUGACAAACCGGAGGAAGGUGGGGACGACGUCAAAUCAUCAUGCCCCUUAUGACCUGGGCUACACACGUGCUACAAUGGUCGGUACAACG